This 406-nucleotide ribosomal RNA is filed under the name uncultured bacterium. Its description in RNAcentral is "partial 16S ribosomal RNA". It matches the Rfam family "Bacterial small subunit ribosomal RNA", at positions 30 to 526 of the family's 1533-position model. The record is from RNAcentral.
AUUUAACGCUGGCGGCAGGCCUAACACAUGCAAGUCGAACGAGUGGCGGACGGGUGAGUAAUGUCUGGGAAACUGCCUGAUGCAGGGGGAUAACUACUGGACACGAUAGCUACUCACGAAUAACAUAGGCUGUGACAAGCUGGGAUUAGCUAGUAGGUGGGGUAAAGGCUCAACUAGGCGACGAUCCCUAGAUGUGCUGAGAGGAUGACCAGCCACCCUGGAACUGAUACACGGUCCAGACCCCUACGUGAGGCAGCAGGGGGGAAGAUUGCACAAUGGGCGCAAGCCUGAUGCAGCCAUGCCGCGUGUAUGAAGAAGGCCUUCGGGUUGUAAAGUACUUUCAGCGGGGAGGCGUUACCCGAAGAAGAAGCACCGGCUAACUCCGUGCCAGCAGCCGCGGUAAUUC